UGUCAGUAUAUUACAAAUGUUAAUAUGAGCAAUGGAAGAAUGCCGGUUCCGGUGCGACCAAAUGGAACCGCAACAUCAGGAUCAAUGCCCCCUGUUUCUACCAUUGAUUAAGAAUUUGUUAUGGAUAAGACAGAGAGCAAAAUGGAAGAUGUGUCAGUUCUCCAAAUUGCUCCAGCACCAGCACCUACUACUGAUGUAUCAGUAAAAGAGGAGACCAAAGAAGAAACUCAUCCUCCAAAAGAUGUAACAAUCAAACACGAAGAGAUACAAGAAAUUCCAGAGGACGUUGAUCUCGAUGAUGAGAAAUGGUGGCGUGACAAUAUGGAUGAGAUCCUUGAGAUGUUUAAGCCAUAUGAUCACUAAAUUUUUAACCUCGUGAUGCAAGUACUUGAAAUUUGAGCUUUUAGUUUUCAACAUUUAUGUUUAAGACUUAUCUUUCCUUAUUUGUGUGCUACUUU
This 458-nucleotide long non-coding RNA is filed under the name Helianthus annuus (common sunflower). The record is from RNAcentral. Lineage: Eukaryota; Viridiplantae; Streptophyta; Magnoliopsida; Asterales; Asteraceae.